UCCAGACUCAACCCCUAUCUCUUUUUUUCUUGUAAUAUUUACUUCCACUAUGCACAGCUAUUGGCUUUCUCAAUGUACUCUCUUCUUUGCAUUUAUUCUCACUGAGCUUUGAUCCUAGAAUGUUCUUCAAGGUCCAGAGAACCCAAAGAUAAAGACUUUACAGAAGCCUUAACUUAUUCAACUUAUGGUCAACUUGUCAAUGACUCUGUCUUGAAAAUUACUGAUAUUUUACCAUAUUUGGAGGAAAGAAUUAGCUCAGAAAGUCAAGAGACCUAGAGGAAAUUCUUUCGGAAUUGAUGAGGCAUUGUUGUGGUUUGAUUCUGAUUAAGAUAUAACAGACAGUCAGGAAGCUGAGAUUACCUCCCAGAGCUCCCUUUCCAGACAUGCAGCCAUAAAGCAGGAAAAGAAAUAGAAAAAGGUGGAAAACAACUGGACUUAGUCUAGGCAUACUGGCAGACUGUAUUAGAGCCAUGCCUCCGAGACUGUGGGACUCUUCUGAAGCUUCUUUAAGACACCAUAUAUAACCAGGAAGUGUUAAACAAAAUCAGUCAGUGUCAGUUAAACU
Molecule: long non-coding RNA, 565 nt
Filed under: Bos taurus (domestic cattle)
Lineage: Eukaryota; Metazoa; Chordata; Mammalia; Artiodactyla; Bovidae
Description: long non-coding RNA NONBTAT019617
Source: RNAcentral